GACCUCACACGACGAGGUGAAAUGUCAAAAAUGUGCAUGCCAAUGGUUCAAUAUGUUUUAUGCAUAACAUACUUAUAAAGAAGAAAACCGGCCUUCCAAUUCGCAAAAAUCACAAACUUCAGCCAAAAUUAAUUAAAAACAACAAAAUACCCUUCAAUCACAAGUCAUUUGGUGAACGAGGAUUUUAGCACUAUGGUACACCCACAUCUAGACAGUGCUUUUACAACACCAUGCACAGUGACAAGGCAUUUAGUCCUUUCAAUCGUAACAUCUUUUUAGCAACAGCCAAAACAAACGACAUGCCGCCUACAGUGCAGUUACAAUUCCAUGGACAGCAACCUCUGCCUCCACCAUGCAAGUAUCCUUCACCAAAAACCCAUUGCCUGCCUGAUUCAAGGUGGCCAGCGAAAUGAACUUAGGCCAGCCCCAAACCGACUUUGAGGUACUGAACCAGACGUUAUCUGCACAUAAUACACCCUGAUGUUAUGAAGGAUGCAUACAAUUAAACACUGAAAUAGAACAAUCUUUACCUUUUUUGCCCUCUUGUUUGUCAUACAUUCGAUCUAAAAUGAGCAGGGAAAACUCUGCAAAUACUUUGGAACCAGCAAGUUUUUCGGGAUCAUCCAAUUCCAAGUAAAGAGAUAUGUAAGUACCCUUUCCAAGUUAUUUCCCUUGGGAUAGAGACUUAUCUUCCUGCAACAUUAGGAAGGAUAUGAUGACUUUUUAUUACAUAUCUUUCAUUAUUUGGGAUGGGGCCCAAUUCAUCUCACAUCUUUGGGAUUGAAUUAAAAGAGCAAACUCCUACAUCGGAAGCUAAAUUUCAGCAAGUUUUAAGUGAUCCCCUUCUUUACAUAUGAGAGAUUAGGUUUAUGUCCUCCCUGAUUAGGUGUAACUUCUUUUUUCGUUAUUAAUAAAAUUCCCCUCGAACAAUUGAGGUUUUCCUAAAAAUAAAAAUAAAUAAAUAAAGGAAAAAAAAUCAAGUUUUACAGUGAUCGACCACAUCUAUUGCGAAAGUUAUGUAGUUAAAAUAGCAUAUAUAGUUUGAAACUCAAAGUUCAUAUCCUUUCGUUUAUCAUUGCAGGUAAAACAAGAUGAGGGGCAAGAGAUUAUACAGUGGAUUGAAAAUUUAAAGUUCUCUUAUUAAGGGUAUUAAUAUAAAGGGCCUAGCAGAGAUACCAUUUCCGUUCUCCAGCAGUGAAUGGUUCUGAUUCGCAGCACUCAGUACCUAACUUUGAAACGUUCUCAACCUUCCAAACAUGCUUGGACUUAACAGCAUCCUUGAUCUUCGAGAUUGACUCUCCUUUGCCAGCUCUUCUUUCUUUACAAACAAAGACCUCAGCUCCAAUCACACAAUUAUCAUCAAUGACAUAUCCGUUGGAAGGAUUAGUAAAUGAUGCAAGAGUGAUAAGCUUAUCAAAUCCCGAAUGACGCAUCAUCGCAUGGAAACAUUUUUCCUUUUUAUUGGCAUCUAUGGAAUACAUAAGGUAAAAAAUAAUGAUCAGAAAAUGAGCAGGGAGUAUUGCAAUUUUCAAACAAGAAAAAUUUCCGGUCUAUGAAUAUGAACACUUGAUGAGAAUUAACUUUUGAAGUAGGUAAUAUGUACCUUGAAGAACCAGAAACAUGCCUUUAUUCUGAUCAAGCAAAAAGAACCUGAAAUCAACAUAUACUUCAUAUCCAGUCUGAAGUGAAUCAGCUCCAACCAUUUCCAAGUAAACAGAGAUGUGGUCUUCGACAUUUUUCUUCUUGUUUCCAUUCGGGUAGAGCACUAGUUUCCUGAGAGCAAACAUGCAGUAUGGCUAACAUUUUAUUUUUACCAGUUUACAUGCACAGCACAUGAUAUACGAAACACAUUAUUGCAUUACAAAAAAGAAAAUGUCAUAGAACUAAUGUCAGAUAGUGAGAGUGAAACAUAAGUUUGCAGAAGAUGAUAUUAAACUCAAAUUUUAGCAGAUGAUAUAAUGAGGGAUUUACCAUUUGUAUCCUCCAGCUUCAAAUUCUCCCGACUCAUAUUCGUCCGCUGAAGUUUUGGUUAGCACUGAAAACGACCGGAUUUUUAGAGCGUAAUGAGUCGGAGGUGAAUCUGAAAAUGAUGUCGAAAACCCUGAAACAAAAUAGUGUUAAUGCAAGCCCAUACUGUUUUAGACUAAAACCGGUAACAUAAAGCAGAUAAAGUAUUUAACCAUUUUGUUGAAAGAGAUAACAAGCCAUGGCAAUAAAAUUGAAAUUGAUUAAACAACUGUUAAGGCUAAACAAUUAUCUUUUGCUUCAAGAGGGGCUUACCCAUAUAUAAUGUUAUUAGAGAAGGAAUUCCAUGUAGAGAUUUUUCAGUAUGUCUGGAACACAGGGUGGUACACCACAUGUCAUAAUACACUUGGAAAAAACAAAAUUUUCCUCUAAUUGUAUAAUGACAUGUAGCGUAUCAUCCCGCGUUCCGGACAAAUUGAAAAAUAUCUACAUGCAACGUGCUUCCUGCACAUUGGACGAAAUAUGUCUUUUCAUCUCCGUAUUGUAGUAAGUCUAAUAAACUCGGUGUGCAAUCUCUUUCUUUUCCAAUUCAUUAAAAAAAAAAAAAAUGCAACUACUCAAUGGCUUCAUACAUUGUGCCAUUGUGGAUACCGUGGAUUUGGUAAAAUUUGAAAGCGAAAAGAUUGUAUAAAUGAAUACGCGUACACUUUAAUCUUCAAACCAUACAAAGGUCUUUCUUCAAGUACCCACACAAAUCAGGCAAACCUUUCUUCUUCCCAAGCACAAUGAGGCAAUAUUCAUGCCCAUUAAAAUGAAAAUUUGAAACUUUGAAUUAGCUACACAGCUUGAACCCGAGGCACUGAACUAGUUAGAGUCUAGGCACUGCUUUGCGAUAAUAGAAGAAUACGAAAAGGUUCUCAGUUACUGCUGUUGCGAUAAUAGAUUUAGGCACAGCUUUGCAGCUCUAUUGAGAAAUAUUGGAAGCUAAUUUCAACUUUUUCUUUUUCGCUUUAACUUUUUACUUUUGCUUUGCUGUCAACUUUUUCUUUUAGUUUUCUUCUUUUUUCUUUCACUUAUAGUUCUCACUUUAAUGAAAAGAACCUAAUACCUAAGUUCAGAAAUUAAAGUAGUCACGCUCCUACCCCGAGAUAUGACAAAAAACAAACCUAUUGCUUAACAGCGUAGGAGCUUUUCAUUUUACUUUGUUGCUGCACCUAACCUUAGGGUUAGACUGCUGACAUACUUUGUCAAGGGAUCAAGCCAAUCGUAAUUCAUCAUUUUGUUAGCACUAAAAAUCUUUUAUUUGCAAUGACUUCCAAAAACUCUCAUGGUAUUAUCUAGCAUGAAAACACAGAGUUCCAGACAACUCAUAGUUUUACAUUCAACAACAAAUAACGUUUCAAUAACAUCCAAGUCGCACACGAUUUUCGCCUAUACGUUUGUGGAAUCGAGCUCUAUUCGAAAAUACUAGUGAAACCCGGGGACACGAUUUCACAUCCUCCCCCAUAUAGAAAUUUCAUCCUUGAAAUUUUCAAUACCUUUCACACUUCAAACCGUUCCCAGAAUUAUUUAACAUCAAGUUUGACAAUACAUGUCAUUAUAUGCUCGGAUCCCAAGACAUGACCAAAAACACACCAAUAGUUCAACCGCAUAUGAACUUUUCAUUUAUUUUGUGGCUACACCUAACCUUAGGUUUAGACUACCUACUUGCCCUGUGAAGGGAUCAAGCUAAUUGUACUUUGUUGGAGUUUGAAUGUGGACGAAAACCGGUGAAAACUGCCAUGGAAGCCAAGGGUGGCCGAAAUAGUCGCCACUUCGCCGCAAUCGCUUCGAUGGCUGGUCUGAUGUUUGGGUUUUGUAGGCCAAACCCAAGUGAGUGUCUUGGUGGUGGGUGAUGUAUGGGUAGUCGUAGAUGGAAGAUCAUUGGCUGGGAAGCUUGAGAAAAAACGGCGGUUUCAAACCGCCACGAACUGAAACCAAACGAAACAAAGGUUGUUGGAUUGUGAUUGUGAGAGGGAGACGAACCGAAUGGUGGUGGUAACGACAAUUUUGUCGUCUGAUCUGUCGGAAACGGUGCCUGAAAAGCUGCCCAGUGACCAGGUCGAACGUGGGUAGAGGGAGCCAUUUUUAUAUAGCAUUCCAAAUGAUGAAAUUGCCUCUACCUUUGCUUGCUUAUUUUUCUUUCGUUACAACUCCGAUUCAUGCACAAUUUUCGCCUGCAUGUUCGUGGAUCAAGCUCUAUUCAAAAAUUUUAAGAAUGACUCGAAAGGUCUAUGGAUUUUUAAUGACUAAUUACAAAAAACCAAGCUUUGUAACUCUUAAAUUAACGAAAAUUAAAUCAAAUUCCCAAAAAUAAGAAAUACAAAAAAUUUGGAUACUGAAAUCCGGGGACAGGGACGCGAUUUCACACUUCUCUUCAACCAUGGAAAGCAAUCAAAGAGAUGUAUAUAUGGAAACCAAAAUACUUCUGCUCGAGUCUUCCAACUCAAGAGGAUAUUGCUGCACUUCAAGAGGAAAGUAAGUUUUGUUCUGCUCAAAAGGGUUGAAGAAGAUAAGAUCUUGCAAUUAUUGGCUAGUUUAAACUCAGACUAUGAAGAUCUUCGCAUUGACUGAGCUUCUAUCAUUUGCAACUGUUUGUGCCAUAAGUCCAAGAGAAGUACUACGCAGAAAGUUAUGAACAUGGGGAAUCAAGGUGAGUGGUUCAGAAGCUGGAGCAUGUUUAUAUAAAAAAACUAGGAUUGCAGGUGUCACAUCCCAGUCUCGAUUCUGCCGUAGUACGAUAUUGUCCGCUUUGGGCCCCAGCCACACCCUCACGGUUUUGUUUUUGGGAACUCACACGAGAACUUCACAGGGGAUCACCCAUCCUAGGAAUGCUCUCGCCCGAACUCGCUUAACUUCGGAGUUCCAAUGGAAUCCAAAGCCAAUGAGUUCCCAAAAAGUAUCGUGCUAUAUAGAGGUGGGCAUGUACAUAUAAGACACAUCACCCUCUUUCCGUUGGUCGAUAUGGGAUGUUACAAUCCACCCCCCUUAGGGGCCCGACGUCCUCAUUGGCACACUCGCACCGAAUGGCAUAGUGGCUCUGAUACCAUUCUGUCACAUCCAAGACAGGCUCCGUCGUAGCACGAUAUUGUCCUCUUUGGGCCCGGCCACGCCCUCACGGUUUUGUUUCUAGGAACUCACACGAGAACUUCCCAGUGGGUCACCUAUGCUUUGCUGUCAACUUUUUCUUUUUUGUUUUUCUCCUUUUUUUUCUUUCAAUAAUAACCCUCGCUCUAAUGAAAAUGUACGAGAACUUCAUACCGGCUGAUGAGGCUCUCGCUGUGCUUGAGGGUUGUUUUCUAGCUCGGCAAGAAAAUUUGACCUAGGUUGUUAUGGAAUCCAACUUUAUGUCUAUCAUCACUUGGUUAAAGGAAUCAAUUAGCAAAGCGACUUGGGAGGCUUUCCAUGUGCUAACUCGUGUGUUAGACAUUGGUGCCUCAAUGCAUACAUGCAGAUGGUCCUGGAUACCAAGAUUGAGAAAUGAUGCGGCGGAUUUUGUUGCGUCACACCAGGUUCCAGAGAUGCGCAACUCUGUCUGGGUAAAUAAGCCCCUAUCUUUGUUUGUAAGAAUUCUAAAUAAAGAUGGUUUACCUUGCGCCCCCCCCCCCCCCCCCGACUUAGUUUAUUUUGUGUGAGGGUAAGGUCAGACUCUUGCUUUUUGUGGCGGUGUCAUUUGUUUUCUCUGUCCUCAUGGCUGUGUACCUUUGCUUGCCAGUUGCCGGCUUUCCAUGUUUCCUCAACCUUAUGGCUUUGUUUAUGAUAUGAUCAAUUGCAAAACAAAACAAAAAAAAAAAAUUAGAUAUCAUUAAAGUUGUCACGCUCCAAUCCCAAAGCAUGACAAAAAACAAACUAAUAAUUCAACAGUGUAGAAACCUUUCAUUUUACUUUGUUGUGCACCUAACCUGUGAAGCAAUCAAGCCAAUCGUAGUUCAUCAUUUUGCCAAUUGAAAGUUUUGGGAAUUUUGAAGCUCACUGAUCCCAAAUCCAACCAGAAAUUUCUGCGAAUUUUCUGUCAUUGCAGCCCAAAACCGAAACCAUCUUCGAACUGGUACUGAACGGUUCCACACACAUUCGGUUCCACCCCCAUACACCGUAUUGUACCGGUACCAAGAUUUGUUUCGGUUUCGGUUUUGGUUCCACCUCUAUCUCGAACCGAACCGUACUGUGCACAGGGCUAUUUGUGACUACUGUUCUAAAAAUCCCCGCCUAGCACCGCCUAGGCGCUAGGUGGCUGGCCACCGUCCCGAUUAAUGUCUAGACAUUUGAAAAUUAAGAAAUGGUGCCUAGACCAACUGAGGUGCCCACCUAGACCGCCUAGGCACCCGUCCAGACCCAUCUAGGUUGCGACUCACGUAGACAGAAAAUAAAUAACUUUUAAUUUGCAUUUAAUUUUUUUAAUAAGUUGUAAGAGAUUUGUCAAAUACUUAAAUGAGCACACAUUAUAUGCUUGUUUCCCGUGUUUUCAUUAUGUUUCAAUACUUCAUAAUACAUAUGUCAUUCUAUUUUGUAGUUUAUGAUAAAAUUAUAUAUAUUAAGUAUAAACAGAGAAUUAUUUACACGAAAUAUAAUGGAUUUAUUUAAAUCUGUCUAAUCCGCCUAGGCGCCCGCCUAGACCCCGCCUAACCGCCUAGGCGCUACGCCGCAGUCCGCUAUCCGACUAGUGCCUAGCGUCUUUUAGAACCUUGUUUGUGACAAUCAAGCACCAAUGCACAUUGCCUCCAUGCCGUCAAAAUUGGCAAUGAGGAGAGAAGCAUCAAUUUAUAGUAUAUCAAGGUUAAAAUAAUAACAAAGAAACAUAAAAUAAGUGAAGAUGCCAAAUUGUUACAUAAGCCAUCAAAUUUUAAUUUGAUGUUUUAAAUUCAACAUCUCCCUUGGAGAUGCUCUAAGCAUAUCAAAGUCAAUUGUCAUUCAUUCGAAAGAAAGUUUAAUCCCAAACGAUUCAAACUCAUUAUCCUCGCAACCAUGAUCAACUUGUUGAUGUUCUCACCAAGGCCCUACCCAUGACUCAAUUUCAUCGACUUCUAUCCAAGCUUUGAAACAGUCAAUCUCCUUGAUCAGCUUGAGGAUAAAUUUUUCCUUGUGAUGGGAAUAAGGGUGGUACACCACGUGUUUUUAUGUAAGUGGUGGGAAAUUUUAUUUUUUAAGUUAUUAACUUUUUAACACAUAUAUCUCAUCAUUUAUAUAGUAACACGUGGUGUACUACCUCGUAUAUCGGUGACAUUGACAAAUCUCUCCAGCCUGAGGGGAGUAUUAGAAGUCAACUUCAACUUUUUCUUUUUUGCUUUAACUUUUUCUUUUUGAUUUUCUCCUUUUCUCUUUCACUCAUUGCCCAGUAAUUCGGCCUUCAAAGACUCAUCGUUGGAAUUUGUAGUCCCUAAAUUCUAAUAGAAGCAGCACCAGUUUUGAACACGACGCAUCUUACCUGCAGCUUGGUCAAGGCUACCCUUGAUGUGAAGAGGUUAGAAACAAUAGUGUUGAAUUUGUGUUUGCAGUUGAAAAAUAAAAAACUGCUAUCUUCUUUGGUUUGGGAACUUUAACGAAAAGCUUUUGGUACUGUUCACUUUAAUGAAAAACCACAUUUUUACACUAAAAAGUCAAUCUUUAUACUAUUCACUUUACCCUUUAUUUUGUUUUUAUCGUUAAAACUCAAAGUUUUCAAGUCAUUUUUAUUAGUUUUCCUUUUUGGUUUUUGCUCAGGAAAUAUUAACUCGUUAAUUGAUUGAGACAGAGAAUGAGCUUAUCCUUGAAACUUGGUUUAUUGAUCUCUGGUAGAUUAGUUUUGCUUCCCUAUUCUACACCCGCAAAUAUUACAAAAAAAAAACCCUUUUUAGACGAAAGGAUUUCAUCGGGUCAAACACUAUUUCGUCACCCAGGUUUUACCUGGCAAACAUUCGUCGGGUCAAGUUCGUCGCAUAAAACCCGUCGCUGAAACAUUUGCUCGAUAAGACUUUAAUUUUCAUUGCUUAAAGUGCGUUUACCAACUUGACCCGACAAAAAUAAUGUGCUCGACGAACUAGUCGUCGGGCAGUUAAUUUAAAGAAAAAUAAAUAAAAAUACAUGCUCGACGAACGUAUCAUCGGGCAAAAGGUUUAAUUUUUUAAAAAAAAAUCUUAUUUAAAUUAUAUUAAUCUACAAAUCUAAAAAAUAUUUAAUUAUAUAUUUUUUUUUUGAACAAACGAUAAUAUUUACACUAAGGGGAGGGGUGGGCUUAGCCUCACAAUGUGCUAGCAAUAAUGUGGUUCAAAUUCGCCUUUGGCGAGAAUCGAACCUAAUAUCUCUCACAUACAAGUGAGAGAAAUACCACUAGACAGUACUAAGUGGCAAUAUUUAAUUAUAUUAAAACUGAAAUAUUCGUGCAAGUGUAUGUAAAAUAUUCUAAACUAACUACCAGUGGGGGUGGCUCAUGGAUGCCGGCUGAAGGUCAUCAGAGGAUCGGGGGCGCGAAUGCCAAAGGCUGUUAUGCUUGGGCUAUACUAGAAAUGUAGCUCUAAAGCUCCUUCUCUCAAUGGCACGCCGCUUCUUCCCAAGCUUCUUCUCUCAGGUGCGCUUAUUCUGGCUCGCAGGCAACUUCUUGUUAGCUCACUAACUCCAUCUCCAACUGUUACAGUCUAGAAGACGUCGUGCUUGGAAGUUGAAAGCUAGAUGAAGAAGAUCUCUUGAGGUCCCGAACCCGACCCGCUCAUAGGCUACGUAAUUCUUUGCAUUUCCGUCGCCUAACCCCGUCCAUCAGUAACUGUAGAGACACCUGUUAAUGUUGGGCACUUUUAGACUCACAUAAUGGUGUAGGUCGGGAGAGAAGCCACAUAAAGCCCAAGGGAGAUCAAAAAGUCCAAGGUCUAGUGGGCUUAGGAGAGGAUGUUUCUAAGCGCUAAAGCCAACCGCCUAUAAGUUCAGCUCGACUAGGAUAUGUAAAGAACUUUUCGACCUCCAGGGGCACAUGGGCAGGCUGACAGCUUUAUGAUAUAAGUCUCCAAGGACAAGCCUACCCAGAAGUUAACCAAGGCACGUGACGGAUCACAUUUAGUGCCAAAGACCUAAGAUAUGACGUAAAGUUCAACGCUCGAAAAGAUGGGGUUGGAUAACCAAGGCAAGUAGGGCUCUCGACCUGCAUCAUUCUAAAAGUACAUGCAAUCUCGACCAAACACAUGUCACUUCAUCUCCGAAUGUCUAGUUGAUAGGUGAAAAUGUGUUAGUAUGCUAGGCUAUGUAGGUGGCACAUUAAAUGCCAAGUUGGGGAAGACCAAGAUUGUGGGGGAGGGGAGGUUCAUUGAGGGCCUAUAUAAAGGGGCAGGAACCUCCUAUAUUGGGGUUAGACGACUGAAGGGGGAGAGAGUUCAUGUAUUAGCCGAGCCCUAUUUUAGUCUUGAAAUCAAUAUAAUUCAAGCAACAUAGUGGAUGUAGCCCAGUUUUGAGGGGUGAACUAUUUAAAUCAAAAGACUGUUUACUACCCUCAUGUUUCGUGGUUUUCAACAUUUAGUACAUCAAGUUUUUUUCGUCUCAGAGUCAUACCUAAAGUGUAAAUUUUGGGACAGUCUCAUACAUCUGUUAAUCAAAGUGUUAAGUAUUCCGUUAACUGAUGAUGUGGCGCCCACGUGGACAAUGACUGGGUGCCACCUGUCAAUAAGGGGUCCACUUGGAAUUCAAAAUUCAAAAAAAAUAUUGAAAUAAUUACUUUUAAAAAUAUUAUAUUAAAAAAAAGUCCAAAACCAACCCAGAACCCCCUUCCUCCAUCCCCACCCGACACCCCUCAUCCCCUCCACCCCUUUCAUCUUCUCCACCCGACCCCUCUCUCUUCUCCCUUCGUUCUCCCUCCCUUCUAUUCGCUGCACAUCCAUCGGGCCGAAUCGAUUCCUUCAACUUCAAAACCAGAAAUCUCGCCUCAACGACGAGCUUCAACCCACAUAAAUCCUCAACCACCACAUUCAAAUUCCCCAAAUCGCACCCAAAUCCAAACCCAUUCAUGGCGUUAAAGAAAUCGGGGUGGUGGGAAUGAGUUGCAAAUCUGGAGGAAGGAGUUGCAUAUCUGGGUGGAAGACGGGCCGCCAUGAAAGGAGGAAGGAGUUGCAGAUCUGAAGGAAGAACUUGUGGGUGAGUUGGAAGGCGAAACAGUUGAGGUUCGAGUGGAGAUGUGACUCGGGCGAGUUCUGUUGAAUGGUGCAGACCCGGAGGAGGUGGGCCUGGUCAACCGGGGAUGGGGUGGCGGCGGCGACUUGGGUGGGAGCAGAGGAGAGAAUGGAAGGAGAUGGGAGGGAGGGUCAUUUGGGGAGGGGGGUUCAGGAAGAAGACAACUUCUAAAAAAAAAAAAAAUAUAUAUAUAUAUAUAUAUAUAAUAUUUUUAAAAUUAAUUAUUUUAAUAUUUUUUUGAAUUUUUAAUUCCAAGUGGACCCCUUAUUGACACGUGACGCCUAGUCAUUGUCCACGUGGGCGCCACAUCAUCAAUUAACAGAAAACUUAACAGUUUGACUAACAGAUGUAUGAGAUUGUCCCAAAAUUUACACUUUAGUUAUGACUCUGAGACGAAAAAAACUUGAUGUACUAAAUGUUGAAAACCACGAAACAUGAGGGUAGUAAAUAGUCUUUUACCCUUAAAUCUUGGAGUCCAUUUCAUUGUAGUCCAUAUCCUAAGCCCACCAAAGGUUUAGUGUUUUAAUAUAUUAACCUGUAAAUUUUGAGCGGUAGCAACACCUCUAGAUCAGGUGUCAGCUCCUCCAUUGGCGUGUCGGGUUGUAGGAGAUAUUGGCAAGGUACUCGUCCUUCUUCUGCAACACAGAAGCCUACAAAACAAAAACAAAAACAAACCCAAUUAAGAUUAUCAAUCCAUAAUUUUUAAAAUUUAAGUAAAUGAAUUUUGAAAUUUCCCAACGAAAUGUAAACUCUAAACCCUAAGUCACCAAGAAAAAGGAGAAUUGACCAAUGAAAUAUUUAAUGAAUUGGGAUUUGUCUGAUGACAUGGUUCGUCAGGUAAAGAUACCUUCGCCAACGAAUUGUUGUUCUGUCAGGCAAAAGUUAGACAUUUUUCCCUUGGCACAUAAUUUUUGUCUGGCGAAUUUACUUUGCUCGUCGAAAUGUUUCAAUCGCCUAAAGCCUCUGAAAAAAUUUAAAACGUUGAUCAUUUUUACCCGACCAAUGUUUUUAGGGAAAAUUUGAAAUAGGUCCAAUUUUAUAUGCCUACUUUUGAAAUAGGUCCAAUUUUUAGUGACUUUUGACUUUUGAAAUAAGUCUAAUUUUUAGUUACUUUAGACCCAUAUCAAAAUACCCCAUGUUUUAAUUCCAUUGAGUAAAGGCACUUUGCUCAACGAAAUUUGGUUCGUCGGGCGAUUGGUAAUUUCUGGUAUAGCAGGCAUUUUUUUACUAUUUUACAAUUUGGCUAUAGUGCGCUAGUAAUUCCAUGGACAGUGACCUCUGCCUCCACGAAGCAUGUAUCCUUCAACACAAACGCCAUGCCUACCUGAUUGAAAAGACUCAGUGUAAUGAAUCUCCACCAUCCCCACUCUAAAUUUGAAGCACUGAACCAGUAAUUUACUACAAGCACCAAAAGUUUUAUAAGUUUACGAGUAUCUUGGAAUCUAACGCACAAAGACGCUACGAACUUUUCAUAAAAAAUAGAACUAAAUGACCCUAAACAACAGAUUAUAUUGUUGUCUAUGUAUUAUCGUCCUUUUAGUGUUACUCAAAACAUUCAGUUGCUUUCUACUAAAAGCCCAACAAGAGUCAACAUUUCGCAAGAACCAACCACAAAUUGUGAACACUUUCAGUAGGUUACAAGCAUAAAUUAUCAAACAACCUUCCACAGAACUCAAGUUCAAUAGUAAGCAUCACCACGUUGUAUCGUAUGCCAUCAAGAUUCAAACGCCACAAAGAACUCGAGCGUCGUCGUCGUUCAUGGGGUGAAUUUCAUAAGAGGCCGGCAAUAAAACAUCCUUAAUUUUGAAGUUUAUAACAUUUUCAUAUCCUUAUUUCCUCAUAUGAUUAUGUAGCAAUUGGAUUAAGCAAAUCUUUACCUUUACCAAACUGAUGUCUGGCAUGCACCUGGUCUAGGAGGCAUAGGCUAAACUCUGCAUAUAUUUUACAGUCAGGAGGAAGAGAUUUUGGUUCGGCUAACGCCCAAAGAGCCAGAUGGGCACCAACUCCAUUGCCUUUUUAACUUGGGAUAGAGCUGUAUCUUCCUGCAAAACAACCAAAACAUUUACAAAAUAUUUAGUUAAACCGUGCUUAAGCUUCCGAUGUCUUCGAGAGAAAUUUAUUACAGAGGGAGAGAAGUCUAACAAGUUUAGGGUUAUAUACCAUUUCAGGUCUUCCGCAGUAAAUACUUUUGAGUCGUAGGAUUCGGCGUCUAGCUCUGAGAAGUUGUCAAUCCUCCAAGUAUUCUUGUACAUAACAGGAUCCUUUACCACAUUGAUAGACAUUGUCCUUUGCCUGUGCUUCGCUCUGUACAAACAAAGACCUCCUCUCCGAACACACAGGUGUCAUCAAUGAGGAAUCCAUUGGAAGCUUCAGUGAAAGCUUUGUGGGAGAGAAAUUGAUCGAACCCCAAAUCGAAUUUCAUCCCAUGAAAGGGCCUUUCCUUUUGUUCAAAGCAAUGGACGGGGAAAACAUACAAGAAAAUGAGACGAUGCUUUGCAAAUAUGAGAACUAUAAGCUUCUUGAUUGUUUGAAUUGAAUGAAAGAAAUAGUACCUUGAAAAACAAAGUAGUGGCUGUUCUGAUCAAGCAAAAACAACCUGAAAACAGCAUACACUUCUGAAGAAAUCUGGGGGGCAUUUAUUCCUGACAUUACCAAGUAGAGAGAGGUUCUUUCACAUUCAUGUUCUUGUUUCCGUUUGGAUAGAAAACCAGUUUCCUGCAGCAAUACAACAAAUUAUACUAUUAUAAAUUAAGCAGCUCGAAAAUAAGAAGAAAAUACUAGUAAUUGAUGGAAAGUUUAUGAAAAUAGAAAUAGUAAGAAUUUGUUCUUAGAAACUGAGAGAAAGGAUUGUACCAUUUGUAUCUUCAGUUCUAGAAUAAAAUAUGUUUUCCCGCUUUUAUAAGGAAAAGUUAAAGGUGUUAUUCCUAACAUGAAACCUUUUAAAGAUUGAAUUGUUAUGCUUUGCUUCAAAAAGGUUGCCUUUGUUUCGUUGAAAAGGUAUCCAUCACCUGCUUGUGGGUGCUUCGAAACACAUUCUGCAAUUUUAAUUCUUAUGCAAAGGAACAAUGUUUACGGUGUAGCAUUUUCAAACAAGUUAAGGUUAGACUAACCAAACAAAGUUUUUAGCUAAACACAAGAUAAGCUACUUUAAAAUAACUGGUCAAGACUCGGCAUAUGUCUCACAGGACGGAUUUUUUAAGAAAACAGGUCCUAUCAAGAUACACUUCAAUCACAAGUCAUUUGGUGGAAAGGAUUGCAGCUCUAGGGUUCUACAGAACGCCACUUUUAGGACAAACCAUAUCGCGGAUCCAGAACUACAUUCGUAUUCAUAAGUCAAUUAACAUCAUUUUCACAAUAUCCGAAAUCAAAUACAAGCUGACUAUAGUCCUUCCGCAAUUCCAUGGAUAGUGACCUCUGCCUCCAAUAUGCAAGUAUCGUUCAACAGAAACCCCUUGUGUGCCUGAUUGAAGGUUUCCAGUUUAAGGAACGUAGACCAACCCCAAUCCCGAGUUGAGUUACUGAACCAGUUGUUAGCUGCACAUAAUACACCCUGAGGUUAUGAAGGAUUCAUACAAUUAAACACUGAAAUUGGACAAUCUUUACCUAUAAACCACUCAUGUUUGGCAUGCAUUUGAUCU
This 13766-nucleotide long non-coding RNA is filed under the name Malus domestica (apple). RNAcentral's name for it is "long non-coding RNA (MDOM_LNC011920)". Lineage: Eukaryota; Viridiplantae; Streptophyta; Magnoliopsida; Rosales; Rosaceae. The record is from RNAcentral.